RNAcentral lists this long non-coding RNA (1570 nucleotides) under Olea europaea (common olive). Its description in RNAcentral is "long non-coding RNA (OEUR_LNC011649)". Lineage: Eukaryota; Viridiplantae; Streptophyta; Magnoliopsida; Lamiales; Oleaceae. The record is from RNAcentral.
CUGCUGUCAAAUUUUCAUAUCAAUUUAGUUAUUACGCGAAGCAUAAGGAUUUUAUAUCCACAUGAACUUAUAAAUUGGUCAAGAAAAACCAGUGGUUCUGUUGAUUAAAUGAUUCAUUUAAUUUGGUCUUGGAUUUUUUGAUUAUGUAUCGAGACUAACUGGGAAAGGUCUAUGUGAAGAAAUGUGAUGGGUUUUGUGAACUCCUGGAUGUAUUGAGUUUAAGAGGUCUUAGAAGCUUAAUUGAAUGUGGGGUUUUGGAAUUGGAACUCUUUCAGUUGAGAGCAGACUCUGAUUCUUUUCAUUAAUCGGGAAAUGUCUUAGGAAGAGUGAAUUGAACGAAGUAGCACAGAAACUGGAUGGUGCCAGUUAGCAUUUCUAGCCCUUGUUUGAUACCCAUUUUUCUCAAAAUACAUUUUCUCCCUCUUUUUUUCAAACACACAUUCUUCAAUAAAAUAAUAUUACACGCAAAACUAAAAAAAUUUCUUAAUUCUUAACCGCGCGUUCUUCAUCAAUUAACUAUUUCAAAAUGCAUUCUUAUUAAAAAAAAAAAAAAGGGAAACAAACAGGGUCCUAAUAUAACAGUGAAAAAACUUCCCUUUCUAACUGAAAUGAUGGCACUUUGUAUGUUCUGUUUUUGAGUUACCUAGUAGAUACAACAAAGCACGUUGUGCUGUAAGACAUCGUUAAAUGGUUAGUGGAGAAUGCAAUGGAUGCAACCACAUUAUCGUAUGCUGUUCCGUGCAUAAUAUGCAAAGAGUAGGUCCAUACCCAAGUAACCUUUUGACAUUCUAUGCAAGGACUUAACUAAUUAUGGUCCAACUGUCAUUAGACCUAAAAACUCUGUUGGUAUCUCAAGUUUAGUUUUUCUUAUCGUUUUUUAAUUAAGGGAAAAUGUUUUCGAAUGGUCCUGAAUAGCAUUGUAUUUCUUAAGAGAGAAAACUUUAUCUUGGAUGCUUUAUUUGCACGUUUUCAUGUGCUGUAUGAUAGAACUUACAAUUAUUUCAGAUCUUACUUGAAAUAACUUUCGAUUCUGUAGUCAUAGUUCCCCUUCCACAUGAUAUGUGGCAGCUUGGUGAAUCUAGUAGCUAAAUACUAUGUUGAAAUGAAUUUACUGUCUUUGCAGUUUGUGCCACUUGUUUUACAAGUUACUGGAGAAAUAAAUUUGGGAGAGCUACUUGUAAAUCAUAUUUCCUCUUUUUCACCUGCGUUCAGGUGGAAGACUUUAAAUGACUUUAUUUGCACGUUUUCACAGGGUGUAUGAUAGAACUUACAAUUAUUUCAUAUCUUACUUGAAAUAACUUUAGAUUCUGUAGCCAUUGUUCCCCUUGUACAUGAUAUGUGGCAGCUUGGUUGAACUAGUAGCUAAAUAGUAUGUCCAAAUGAAUUUAUUGUCUUUGCAGUUUGUGCCACUUGUUUUACAAGUUACCGGAGAAAUAAAUUUGGGAGAGCUACUUGUAAAUCAUAUUUCCUCUUUUUCAGCUGCGUUCUGGUGGGACACUUCAAGUGAUAUUUCUAUUAACAUUACGUCUUUUAGUUUAUCUAUUUAUCUAGAUGUUGUACUAAAGUGCAG